GACGAACGCUGGCGGCGUGCUUAACACAUGCAAGUCGAACGGAAAGGCCCUGCUUUUGUGGGGUGCUCGAGUGGCGAACGGGUGAGUAACAAGUGAGUAACCUGCCCUUGACUUUGGGAUAACUUCAGGAAACUGGGGCUAAUACCGGAUAGGAGCUCCUGCUGCAUGGUGGGGGUUGGAAAGUUUCGGCGGUUGGGGAUGGACUCGCGGCUUAUCAGCUUGUUGGUGGGGUAGUGGCUUACCAAGGCUUUGACGGGUAGCCGGCCUGAGAGGGUGACCGGACACAUUGAGACUGAGAUACGACACAGACUCCUACGGGAGGCAGCAGUGGGGAAUAUUGCACAAUGGGCGGAAGCCUGAUGCAGCAACGCCGCGUGCGGGAUGACGGCCUUCGGGUUGUAAACCGCUUUCGCCUGUGACGAAGCGUGAGUGACGGUAAUGGGUAAAGAAGCACCGGCUAACUACGUG
Molecule: ribosomal RNA, 468 nt
Filed under: uncultured bacterium
Lineage: Bacteria
Description: partial 16S ribosomal RNA
Rfam family: Bacterial small subunit ribosomal RNA
Source: RNAcentral